Non-coding RNA from Myodes glareolus (Bank vole), 948 nucleotides. The record is from RefSeq and is a predicted model, not a curated record. Lineage: Eukaryota; Metazoa; Chordata; Mammalia; Rodentia; Cricetidae.
GUGAGAACGUUUCUUCCCAACAGGCUCACAUUUUUUUGAACACUUCAUUUCCAGGUGCUGGUGCUGUCUGGAUAAGGUUAUGGGAUCUGAAGCUGCUUCUGCUAAGGUAUUUUAUCUCAACAAAAUUAACGAAGACAUGUUUAUGCAAGAAAACAGAGAAAUGCAGUGGUAUCUGACAAACCAAAGAGUAUCUACAUGUUGAAUCUGGUUCGUGGAUCAUCGAUUUGAGACCUCUUUCCCCAGUCCUGACUGUGAGUUAUACUCCUCUAGCUGCACAUCAUUGUCUUCAGUCUUUCUUUGGUCAAUCCUGUGACCCUCCUACUCUAUCAGAAAUAGCCCUCGUCCUUCAGCAUAACGUGCAAGGGUCAGCGUGGAUUCUCUCUGGCUCAACUGCUGUGUGGCCCUACGAGUACCAGCUCUAUAUGCAAAAACAUCAGUGGUGAUUGUUGCCUGUGCUCUUGCUGAUUCUUAUUCAAUUCUUUAUCUUCCUGUUCUUGAAUGUAUCUUGGUUAAUCUUCUGAAGGUCAUGGCUUUAUAGUACAGCUUGUAUUUUUACAAUUAUUUUGUCUUCCUGAGAAUUUUAUCCAUGAGUAUUGUAUUUACAUCAUUUACAUCAUUUUCACCCCACAUUCUUCUCACUUCAUUUCCUCCCUCUUCCUCUCAGCCUUAGGCUUUCUUUUUCAUUAACAAUUGUUAAAUACUUAUGAAUAUAUACACAUGUAUACACAAAUACUACCUACUAAGUCUGAUUAGUGCUGUUCAUAGGUAUUUAUGUUUAGGAAUGACCACUGGGGAUCAGAUGUGUCUAUCUGCAGUUGAUUCACCUCUCCAUUUAAGGAUCAGGAAACAUAGUGAAGACUCUAAGAGCCAAAGGACCAGGACAGCUGCAGCUAUACAGUGUCUUUUAUACGGACAGGAAGCCACAUCCAUGAAAUCUUUUUUUUUCUA